AAGUGUCAGAUGUGUUCUGCGAGGUCCUGCAAACAUACUGGCAAAUUGAGGUAAGAAAAUCGCUAUCUUUAUUAUCUUUUGAAAAUAGUAAAGUAAGUUAUAUCGUUACGUUACCAGAGUUUACAAAUGGGUAGCUUAAAGGACAUGUAACCUGCAGAAGAUAAAUAAAUACCUGUGUGUGUAUUUUUGUAUUGCUUUAUCACAGAUGCUCAAGUUAGAUGCUCAUCUGAUGUUGUUGUGUUGCUGGUAAAUUAUGUGUUAAUGUCUGUCUUUUAGAGAUUUUUCCACAUUUUCCUGAUAUGAAUCCCAUGGAUUAGAGUCAUCAAGGAUCCAGCUUAUUAUUGAAACAUUGGACAGUACAGAAAGCACACAAGUGGGAGAGAACACAGUCCGGGGGGGUUCCCGUUAGAAAUGCCCCCCCCCCAAACCCCCCCCCCCCGGGGUCCCCCCUCUAACGCUGGUUCCUUGGAAUUGUCCUAACCUUCCCUGCCCUUACAGCGUCCCUGGUUGCCGGUUCCAUUCUCGAACUGUUCAACACAUUUUCACUGCACAAAUGUACACAUCUCUUGUAAUGAGACACAUUACUAAAACAUGUUUUUUACAGAAACUGUAGUUUUCCACCAAAAUAAAAGAUCAGCUGGUUUCAGUCAUAAAGGUACAAGGGUUUCUCUUGCAAGUGCCACACAAAAUAUGCAUUUAUAUGCAAAAAUAUGCCAAAUUAUUUUACAAAAACCUUUCAAUAUUAUUGUAUUUGAAUUGUUCUUCUACGUGUUUUUAACAAUACAUCCAUGCAUACUCUGCAAAAUAAAGUUUGGG
Long non-coding RNA from Cyprinus carpio carpio, 816 nucleotides. The record is from Ensembl. NCBI's taxonomy places the organism in Eukaryota, Metazoa, Chordata, Actinopteri, Cypriniformes, Cyprinidae.